Molecule: ribosomal RNA, 255 nt
Filed under: uncultured bacterium
Lineage: Bacteria
Description: partial 16S ribosomal RNA
Rfam family: Bacterial small subunit ribosomal RNA
Source: RNAcentral
AACGUAGGUUCCGAGCGUUAUCCGGAUUUACGUGGGCGUAAAGCGCGUUCAGGCGGUUUGGCAAGUCGGGCAUGAAAUCUCUCGGCUCAACCGGGAGAGGUUGUCCGAUACUUCCAGACUUGAGGGCAGGUAGAGGGUGGUGGAAUUCCGGGUGUAGUGGUGAAAUGCGUAGAGAUCCGGAGGAACACCAGUGGCGAAGGCGACACGCUGGGCCGUACCUGACACUGAUGCGCGACAGCAUGGGGAGCAAACAGG